This is a long non-coding RNA of Etheostoma spectabile (orangethroat darter), 101 nucleotides long. RefSeq lists it as uncharacterized. The record is from RefSeq and is a predicted model, not a curated record. The transcript has 3 exons. NCBI's taxonomy places the organism in Eukaryota, Metazoa, Chordata, Actinopteri, Perciformes, Percidae.
AGAGCAACAGUCACGGAGCUGUAGCCGAGCCAAAGUAGAACACUUUUUAAUUUAUUGACUUUAUCGGUUAUGAGGCGAAUAAAAACCAGAUCCAGAUCAUC